RNAcentral lists this ribosomal RNA (1832 nucleotides) under Klebsiella aerogenes UCI 47. RNAcentral describes it as "bacterial LSU rRNA". It matches the Rfam family "Bacterial large subunit ribosomal RNA", at positions 1117 to 2925 of the family's 2925-position model. Lineage: Bacteria; Pseudomonadati; Pseudomonadota; Gammaproteobacteria; Enterobacterales; Enterobacteriaceae. The record is from RNAcentral.
CAUCAUUUAAAGAAAGCGUAAUAGCUCACUGGUCGAGUCGGCCUGCGCGGAAGAUGUAACGGGGCUAAACUGUGCACCGAAGCUGCGGCAGCGACACUAUGUGUUGUUGGGUAGGGGAGCGUUCUGUAAGCCUGCGAAGGUGGCCUGUGAGGGUUGCUGGAGGUAUCAGAAGUGCGAAUGCUGACAUAAGUAACGAUAAUGCGGGUGAAAAGCCCGCACGCCGGAAGACCAAGGGUUCCUGUCCAACGUUAAUCGGGGCAGGGUGAGUCGACCCCUAAGGCGAGGCCGAAAGGCGUAGUCGAUGGGAAACAGGUUAAUAUUCCUGUACUUGGUGUUACUGCGAAGGGGGGACGGAGAAGGCUAUGUUAGCCGGGCGACGGUUGUCCCGGUUUAAGCAUGUAGGCGGAGGUUCCAGGUAAAUCCGGUACCUUUUUAACGCUGAGGUGUGAUGACGAGGCACUACGGUGCUGAAGUAACAAAUGCCCUGCUUCCAGGAAAAGCCUCUAAGCAUCAGGUAACAUUAAAUCGUACCCCAAACCGACACAGGUGGUCAGGUAGAGAAUACCAAGGCGCUUGAGAGAACUCGGGUGAAGGAACUAGGCAAAAUGGUGCCGUAACUUCGGGAGAAGGCACGCUGAUAUGUAGGUGAAGCCCCUGCGGGUGGAGCUGAAAUCAGUCGAAGAUACCAGCUGGCUGCAACUGUUUAUUAAAAACACAGCACUGUGCAAACACGAAAGUGGACGUAUACGGUGUGACGCCUGCCCGGUGCCGGAAGGUUAAUUGAUGGGGUUAUCCGUAAGGAGAAGCUCUUGAUCGAAGCCCCGGUAAACGGCGGCCGUAACUAUAACGGUCCUAAGGUAGCGAAAUUCCUUGUCGGGUAAGUUCCGACCUGCACGAAUGGCGUAAUGAUGGCCAGGCUGUCUCCACCCGAGACUCAGUGAAAUUGAACUCGCUGUGAAGAUGCAGUGUACCCGCGGCAAGACGGAAAGACCCCGUGAACCUUUACUAUAGCUUGACACUGAACAUUGAGCCUUGAUGUGUAGGAUAGGUGGGAGGCUUUGAAGCGUGGACGCCAGUCUGCGUGGAGCCAACCUUGAAAUACCACCCUUUAAUGUUUGAUGUUCUAACGUUGGCCCCUUAUCGGGGUUGCGGACAGUGUCUGGUGGGUAGUUUGACUGGGGCGGUCUCCUCCCAAAGAGUAACGGAGGAGCACGAAGGUUAGCUAAUCCUGGUCGGACAUCAGGAGGUUAGUGCAAUGGCAUAAGCUAGCUUGACUGCGAGCGUGACGGCGCGAGCAGGUGCGAAAGCAGGUCAUAGUGAUCCGGUGGUUCUGAAUGGAAGGGCCAUCGCUCAACGGAUAAAAGGUACUCCGGGGAUAACAGGCUGAUACCGCCCAAGAGUUCAUAUCGACGGCGGUGUUUGGCACCUCGAUGUCGGCUCAUCACAUCCUGGGGCUGAAGUAGGUCCCAAGGGUAUGGCUGUUCGCCAUUUAAAGUGGUACGCGAGCUGGGUUUAGAACGUCGUGAGACAGUUCGGUCCCUAUCUGCCGUGGGCGCUGGAGAAUUGAGGGGGGCUGCUCCUAGUACGAGAGGACCGGAGUGGACGCAUCACUGGUGUUCGGGUUGUCAUGCCAAUGGCAUUGCCCGGUAGCUAAAUGCGGAAGAGAUAAGUGCUGAAAGCAUCUAAGCACGAAACUUGCCCCGAGAUGAGUUCUCCCUGAGACUUAAAGUCUCCUGAAGGAACGUUAAAGACGAUGACGUUGAUAGGUCGGGUGUGUAAGCGUAGCGAUACGUUGAGCUAACCGAUACUAAUGAACCGUGAGGCUUAACCUU